ACUAAUUAGGUCUCAUCAGCUCAACUUCUCAAAAUGAGGUUCCCUUCUCAGCUCCUGGGGCUGCUGAUGCUCUGGAUGUCAGGAUCCAGUGGGGAGGUUGUGAUGACACAGACCCCACUCUCCUUGCCCGUCACCCCUGGAGAGCCGGUCUCCAUCUCCUGCAGGGCCAGUCAGAGCCUCCAGGACAGUUAUGGAAACACAUAUUUGAGUUGGUUCCGGCAGAAGCCAGGCCAGUCUCCACAGAGCCUGAUCUACUUGGUUUCCAACCGUUUCACUGGGGUCCCAGACAGGUUCAGUGGCAGCGGGUCAGGGACGGAUUUCACCCUGAGAAUCAGCAGGGUGGAGGCUAACGAUACGGGAGUGUAUUACUGCGGGCAAAGUACACAUGAUCCGUACACGUUCGGCCAGGGGACCAAGCUGGAAAUAAAACGGAAUGAUGCCCAGCCAUCCGUCUCUUUGUUCCCACCAUCUCUGGACCAGAUACACACAGGUAGUGCCUCUGUCGUGUGCAUGCUGAAUAGCUUCUAUCCCAAAGACGUCAAAGUCCAGUGGAAAGUGGAUGGGGCUCUCCAAAACACAGGCAUCCAGGAAAGUGUCACAGAGCAGGACAGCAAGGACAGCACCUACAGCCUCAGCAGCACCCUGACGAUGCCCAGUACAGAGUACCAAAGUCAUGAGAAGUACUCCUGCGAGGUCACUCACAAAAGCCUGUCCUCCACCCUUGUCAAGAGCUUCCAAAGAAGCGAGUGUCAGAGUGUGGCCUAGCAGGCCCCCCACCUGCCCCUCAGUCCCAGGCUCCCUGACUCCCCCCGUCAGGCCUCCGGCCCUUUCCCCAUCAGAGACCCACCCCUGUUGCAGGCCCUUCUCCCCACCUUACUGCCUCCCCCUCUUUGGCUUUAAUCAUGCUAAUAAUAUUUGGGGGGAAAUGAAUAAAUAAAGUGACUCUUUGCACCUGU
Non-coding RNA from Odobenus rosmarus divergens (Pacific walrus), 956 nucleotides. The record is from the annotation of a RefSeq genome assembly. Lineage: Eukaryota; Metazoa; Chordata; Mammalia; Carnivora; Odobenidae.